GGCCUCACUCUCCGGGCGGGUGCUGGACGGACGGACGGACGGGGCAGCCGUGCUCACAGCUCAGCAGCGCGGGGCCUUGGCGCGCGGGGCGCUUCCCCGGGUCGCCGUCAUGGCCGCGGAGGUGGCACGCCCGAGCGGCCUCGCCUGAGCUCCGGGGGUCGUCGCCCCGCAGGGUAGGUGUUUGGGUGCUCGCGGCUGCGGCGGGCGGGCUGGGGGCAGCGGUGGCCGUGCAUUGCCGCGCUGCGAGGACGGCGCUGGGUUCGCGGCCGCGAGGAGGGUGUGCCUUUGCCGCGCCGCCUACGUGCGGGUCCGGGCUCCGCGGGGCCGGGUGCGGGACCCCGCAGAUCGUCACCCGCAACCCAGGCAGCCCCACCGCGAGUGCCGCCGGACCCCCUGGACGCCGCUGCCAGAGGCGUUCGCGCCUAUCUGGUAUGAGGUCCACAGACCCGAUUCUUACAACCUGGCGCUCUAACCUCGCCAACGGGCCAGGAAAAAAACAGAACAAGGAAAAGAAGAAAAAGUCUGUUCCAAGUAAUAAUGGGACUAGACAGUAACUGUUUGCACUUUCGUCUCUUAUGGAAAAUAUGAUUAUUUUGAUGCUUUAGUAUUACAGACUGUAUCAGACAUACUCUUAAAAGUAUUUAAAAACGUGGGGUCCUAAAAAUUUCCUAGAUCGGGACAGCUGAUAAUGCGACUUCUGUUAGUCUCCGCAUCCAACUUUCAGGGCGGAAUGGGGAUUUCUACCUUUUACUGAAUAUACUCCUGUAAUUUUGAAUAUUUUUUCUCAUCAAAUGUGUUACUUUCAUGUUUUAGGAAACCAAUAAAAAUCAAAAAUAGAAACACCCAGCUUAGGUCCUCCUUCUUCCAGGAAUCCUCCUCUAACCCCUCCCUCCCAGGCAGGAUCGGAGGCCCCUCCCGGGUGCUUUCUGGGGCCUCACUGAGGUCCUGGUCCCCUAAGUCCUCCCCCGCAGCCCCUCCGCGUAUUAACCCACCGGUCUCGCUGGGCUCAGAGAUUGCUUACUUAGCACAUGGUAAGUGAUUAAUACUGUUUAAUGACCGAGGGAAAAGAUAAAAUGUUCUCUGAUGUUUCACGCUUUUCGCUCUGAAGUUAAAUAGUGGUAAAUUUAUAUGCGCUUAGAUAAGAACAUUUAACAGUUAAGGAUCUGGAAAAGUUGACGACGUCCGAUGUCCGUGUUUCCUGAUCCAGCAGUUGCACGCCUGGGUAUUCAUCCUUAAGAACAAUGUUUUUCAGAAUUUGAAGUCCAUUUUAGUGGGUCGUAAAGUCAUUUAAAUGGAUGAUCAGAAUUUGUAAAACACAGACGGAGAAUAGAACAUCAGUGUCUCUCAGGUCAUAGGGGUGUUCGCUUUAUGAAUCUCUCUCCCCCUCCUCAGUUUCAUACAUACACAAAUGUGUGUCAUGAUGUAAAACGUCAUUCCUUAGUAUGAGUCAUGGACAAAAAAGUUUGAAAGCCACUGCCCUAGAUAAAUUUUAAUACAUGUCCACAAGCAGACGUGUACAAGAAGGUUGACUGUAAUGGCAGAAAACUGGAUGCCGCCUUCAUGCCUACCUGAAGGAGAAAGAUAAAUUAUACACCACUCAUAAAAAGGGCACACUGUACAGUGGCCAAUGAAGUAUUUUUGUGUUUCAACACAAAUGCCUUUCAGUGUUGAACCAAAAAAAAAAAAAGUUGCCGGAGAAUGCUGUGUGAUAUCUUCUAUGUAAAAUUCAGAACCUGGUGGAGCAAAGCUGUUGUUUAGGGAUGCAUGUAUAGGCAUUAAAAGUAGUAAAGAAAAAAAGUCAAGCUAAUGGUCAUCUCCUAGUGGGGAGGAGAGGGUCAGGGGCUCAGAGAUGCUGGAAAUGCUUUAUCGCCUGACCUGUGCAAUGGUUACAUGGGUGUUUGCUUUGUAACUCUUUGUUAAAUGAUACACACUGGGUUUGAAUGUUACAUUUCCCCCCAAAUAUGUUAAAAUAUGGGUGUUGCAAACUGAAGAAGCCUGAGUCUAGGGCUCUCCGUCUGUUAUUCUUAUUUCCUGGCUUCUUUUUAGAAAAAAAAAAUCUUGCUCAGGGAGGAGUACCUAGGGAAUUUAUCAGUAAUGUUUUAUUUCAUAAAUUCCAUGGUGGACAUACCAGUAUUCAUUAAAUUAUUCUUUAUGUAUUCUUAUAACUUAAUUUAUAAUAUUUCAAAAAGCAUUUAGGAGAAAACAUCAUUUGGUGUGUUUGCUUUCCCAAAAGUCACAUUUACAUGUUUUGUACACAACUGGAAUAUUUUAUAUAGUAAUUUUAGCUAAAAUCAAAUUUUGUUAUGAAAAACGAAAUACUAAAAAGUAUAUAAAAAUCACAGAACUUUACAGACUUUCAGCGUUUUAAAAUGCUAACAUAUUGUAUUUACCUCAAUAAUUUCUGUUCCUCAGUUCUUUCAGGCCACAUUUUUAGUGCUCAAUAGCCUCAUAUGACUUUAAUAUUUUAUUAUAUUUUAUUAUGUUAUAUAUUUUACAUUAUACAUUAUAGAACAGAAUAUUUCCAUCAUUGCAGAAAUUUAUAUUGGAAAACAUUCUGGAUACAAAUAUUUGUUAUAUACUUGCAGAUAUUAAACUGUAGACAUUAAUCCUUAUGCUUUUUGUCUUAAGAUACUCUACUAUUAAUGAAAUGUAUUCUGAAUAUUUUUCUAAGAAUUUUUAAGUUUAUGUUUUGUCCACAUUUUGUUCUUUAAUUUACCUGAGACAUGUAUAUAUUGAGAUGUAUAUAUUUUAUGUUAUGAGAUCAAGCUUAAUUAAUUUUCAGAUUCCCACAUGAAAAGGUAAUUGUCCCAAUAUCAGUGAUUAGCAGUGCCACUUCUGUCACAUACAGUACCCAGAUAUGUUUGGGCUUAUUUCCAGGCUGUUAAUCCUGGUUUAUUUGUCAUUUGAAAAUACUGCAGAUUUUCAUUUACUGCUGCUUUCUAUGUAGUAUAUUGUUCAGUUCUAAGAAUUUAAGAUUUUUUCAUUGUGAUAUUUUUUCUUCCCCUAAGAGAUUUGUAGAAAGUAGUCUAGUUCCAAUGUGGAAGGUUUUGUGAGUUAUCCUUUUGUUACUGAUUUCUAAUUUGCACUGUAGUUAGCAUACGUGUCAAGGCCAACAAUUCUUUGAAAUUCGAGAAUUGCUUUAUGGUUUUAACUGCUCCUUGUAUCAUCAAGAAUAAUUUGUACUCACAGACUUUUGAGGCAAUGUAUGUAGGUGUGUGUAUAUAUAUAAUAUAUACACAUACACUUUAUAUAUAGAUUAUAUAUAAUCUCUCUGUAGAGUUUAUAUAAAAAUUAAAUAUAUUUAUAUAAAUGUAUAUAUAUAUAUGAAUAAAAUCUCCUGUCUCUAA
This 3347-nucleotide long non-coding RNA is filed under the name Homo sapiens (human). Its description in RNAcentral is "hydatidiform mole associated and imprinted". Lineage: Eukaryota; Metazoa; Chordata; Mammalia; Primates; Hominidae. The record is from RNAcentral.